Molecule: ribosomal RNA, 441 nt
Filed under: uncultured Sedimentibacter sp.
Lineage: Bacteria; Bacillati; Bacillota; Tissierellia
Description: bacterial SSU rRNA
Rfam family: Bacterial small subunit ribosomal RNA
Source: RNAcentral
GGUUUAAUUACGAAGCAACGACGAAGAACCUUACCAGGUUCUUGACAUCCCGAUGCUUAUUUCUAGAGAUAGAAGUUACUUCGGUACAUCGGUGACAGGUGGUGCAUGGUUGUCGUCAGCUCGUGUCGUGAGAUGUUGGGUUAAGUCCCGCAACGAGCGCAACCCCUAUUGUUAGUUGCCAUCAUUCAGUUGGGCACUCUAGCGAGACUGCCGGUAAUAAGCCGGAGGAAGGUGGGGAUGACGUCAAGUCAGCAUGGCCUUUAUAUCCUAGGCUACACACACGCUACAAUGGCCAACACAAUAGGUUGCUAAGCCGCGAGGUGGAGCCAAUCCAUAAAGUUGGUCUCAGUUCAGAUUGUAGGCUGCAACCCGCCUGCAUGAAGAUGGAGUUGCUAGUAACCGCAGGUCAGCUAUACUGCGGUGAAUACGUUCCCGGGGCUU